GCCCGGCUAGCUCAGUUGGUAGAGCAUGAGACUCUUAAUCUCAGGGUCAUGGGUUCGGGCCCCUUGUUGGGCG
Rhipicephalus microplus (southern cattle tick) is the source of this 73-nucleotide non-coding RNA. The record is from the annotation of a RefSeq genome assembly. Lineage: Eukaryota; Metazoa; Arthropoda; Arachnida; Ixodida; Ixodidae.